GUGUUUCUUCUUUAGAAAAUGGUUAUCUAUGCCAUCCAUAAAGGCACCUGCCUUUUGUCCCAGCAUUCAGGAGGCAGAGGCAGGUGGAUCUCUGAGUUCAAGGUCUGCAGUCCAGGAUAUCCAGGACUACACACACACAAAAAAAAACUUUGUCUUGAAAAAACAACAAAACAAAACAAAAAUCAAAAAGAAGACGAGAAGAAGAAAACAGUUACUUGUGAAAUUUAAACUUCUGACUGUUGUUAGACUUAUGAGUAGGGAGGCAAGAAGACAAGGACGGAGCAUAGUGAAGCUACAUUUUGUACCAAUUUCUCAGUUAUUGCUUCAUGGUAAGGAAACAUAGAAUAACUCCUACAUUUUUUAAUUCACUUAGAUGUCCAUAUGGCCAAGUAAAGCGAUUAUGGUAAUAGCUUCCUGCAUAUUGGAAGAGAGUAAUAGUCUUGAGUGCUCACUGUGUUAUGUGGAUAAUAAAGGAAAGAACCUUCAUUGAAGCCUUGAAACAGGACUUGUUUGGGAAUCUGGCUUUCCACAAGUGUCAAUGGCUGGCUCUUUUCCUCUUGUUCGUAUUCAUGCAGAAGAAAAAAGCAGGAUGUUGGAGGAGGAUUUGUUGACUGACAAUGGUCACUACAGGACAGAGCAGGACUGCAGAUAGUAGACAGCUUUCUCCCAAGCAGCAACUGUUGAGCAUUGCCAAGCAGCUGGGAAUGAUGGCAGAACUGACUUUGGUUAGAUGGCCUUGAGGACCUCAAGGGUGCUGACACAGCCCUACUUACCUACUCCCCACAUCUCUGUGGGGUCCCUUAAAUGCUGGUAUCCCCUUUCCUUUGUGUUAGGAUCCUAGGACCUUUAUGCAUGGACUUCCAUUUCUAUGAGAUUUUGAGAAAACAGCAGAAAAGCAAUGCACACAGCUAAGUCAGUUGCCAUUCAAGAAUUUGUUUCCAGCUCCCAGGUAUUGCUGGUGUUUCCCCCUUCUUUUUUGACCAUGCUUAUAAUUUCAUGUGUGUGCAAAAGCACACACUCAUCCCUCCAUAUUUUGGGGGAAUGGUUACAGGACCACUCCCCCAGAUACCCAAACCCAAGAAGGCAUAAGCCUUUUUAUAAAAUGGCAUAUAAAUUUGUGUGUGUGUGUGUGUGUGUGUGUGUGUGAACAUGCACACUCAUGUAUAUCCUCCCAUAGACUUUAAGUUAGCUCUAGACUCCUUGCAAUAUCCAAUACAAUGUAAUUACUGUGUAACUGAUUGCUGUAG
RNAcentral lists this long non-coding RNA (1247 nucleotides) under Cricetulus griseus (Chinese hamster). RNAcentral's name for it is "lncRNA (ENSCGRG00015033418.1)". The record is from RNAcentral. Lineage: Eukaryota; Metazoa; Chordata; Mammalia; Rodentia; Cricetidae.